CCCUUAGAUGUUCUGGGCCGCACGCGCGCUACACUGAUGCAUUCAACGAGUCUAAAACCUGCUCUGAUAGGGGUGGGUAAUCUUUUGAAUGUGCAUCGUGAUUGGGAUAGAUGAUUGCAAUUUUUCAUCUUCAACGAGGAAUGCCUAGUAAACGCAAGUCAUCAGCUUGCAUUGAUUACGUCCCUGCCCUUUGUACACACCGCCGUCGCUCCUACCGAUUGAAUGAUCCGAUGAAUAUCAUGGAUUGAGGAUGCAAGUAGGUUAGCCUAUCUUCAUCUUCGAGAAGUGAAGUAAAUCUUAUCAUUUAGAGGAAGGAGAAGUCGUAACA
RNAcentral lists this ribosomal RNA (328 nucleotides) under uncultured eukaryote. RNAcentral describes it as "partial 18S ribosomal RNA". It matches the Rfam family "Eukaryotic small subunit ribosomal RNA", at positions 1470 to 1796 of the family's 1831-position model. The record is from RNAcentral.